UGUCAACUUAAAUGUUAAGCGUCGAUGUUUGUUUUUAUGACUAUUUCUCUUCGUCUUCACCAAUCGAUACCUCUGCACUGCGGUUAUUGUAAUCUCCUCUUCGUGAAUCUGUAAUGCUCUAAAUCCUCUUCUAAUUGUUUCGUUCCAUCUCCCCCUCUUUCUCCUUCUAUAUAAAGUCCUAAUCUGAUGUUUAAUCCAAACCCUUUUCAAAACCGUAUAAAUCUUCCAAAAUUCAAGUGAUGAGCGAGAACAACUUCAACGAGAACGAUAGGAGUAUUCUGUCCUAAUUACAACUCUGACAAUGGCGAAUUGCAUACCAAAACUGGCAAACGCCAUUGUUAUCUGCUUUUCAGCUUCCAGUUGCGAGAGGAAGUUCUAAGAAGAUGAUCGGAGGAAGAAAGUCGAAGGCUUUAGUCUCUCGGCGCAAACCGAGCUGAACCGGAAAGUGGGUUUGGUCAGAAGAAACAUACGCUUCCCCUGUUAUCAAAGCUGCUCAAGGAGUUGGUGGUGAUUAUGUUGAUGGAAGAAGAUCUGCCAUGGUUAUCUGAGUUGCUACACUCUUCUCUUCUCCUCUGUUGUGUAUAUGUUUCCGCUAAUGCUGGCGUCAUUGAUGAUUACCUCGAGAAGAUCAAAGCCAACAAAGUAAAGUCUUGAAACGUCAUGAAUCAUGUUGAUAUCUCUUAAGAAACCUUUUUAUUAUGCAAAGUAAUGUUUUUUUUUAUGUUAAGAAGAGACUGGCAAGUGGCAACAAAGCUGAAUGUUUUUAUUAGGCAUAGAUGCUAUUUUAGGGAUUUGGCUUCUCCUGAGUGUGCAGGAGAUUCAGAAGCGGUACGAGAUGUUGCCUGAUAAGGAAUCUGUUGAUGGAGGGUUGAUGCUUGAGGCUGAGAAGAACGAUGGUUGGAUAACUGGGCACCGCAUCUCAGAUACGCUCUACGGAGGCUUAUUCGUGGUGUCUUUUCUCCGAGAGAGAACCCAUGGGAGAACUAGAAUUGUAUGUGUGGGUUUUAAGCGUAACAAGCCGGUUAGCAGAAGAAUUCAGACAAAGAACUCAAGUGUCUGGAGAUGAGACAAAGGUCUUGAUGGAAUUGAAGUAUGGUAAAGUAGAAGCUAACUUGAAUCCCUAAACGGAAAAGGAGACUGAAACAGAUGUUUGAGACAUGAUAGAAGAAUCAUGGAAGGAGACAAAGGAAAACGAAAAACGAUAUUGAUUAUUGAGCAAAGUGAAGAAACUUUUGGAGAGGGUGAAGCGUAAGUGGUGGGGGAGGUUAAGGAGUACCAGAUAUUGAUGGUCUGUUUCUUUUCUUUUGUUUCUUUUCUUUAGACGCACGUCUCUUUUUAACACGUCUGAUGUUAAUAAGGUUUUGGUUCUGGUUUAAAAAUGAGUCAUAUUUCUCAUGUCCAUCCAAAUCUACUGGCAAAUUAUGUUAAUAUUUUAUAUUAAACAUGUAUUUUAAUAUCGAUUUGUCAAAGGUUCCAAAGUCAUGUGGACAGACCAGUGUUGCAUACUCUUCUUUUUUCGUUAUUUAGAAAAAGGUCAUGGAUCCUGAAUUCAGGAAGCAUAACUUGAAGACUUUUCAAACAUCAUAUUUGGAAAUUCAAUUUCAUAUUAUCUUUUAUAAAAAAAGACUUUAGAAUAUAAGCUUACAUAAAUUUAUAAAUUUAUAUAAAAAAAAAGACUUUAGAUGUUGGAGUGAUAUUUCAGAGUACUCUGUUCUGCUGUUAGCUUAGACAUAACUAGGGAUCCAUGUGUUAACAAUGGUUGUAGUUUUUGGUUAUAUAGGUUUCGAGAUCUAUAGGAGAUAUGUACAUGAAACGGCCAGAGUUUAACAGGGAGCCGAUUGCUCAGAAGUUCAGGCUUUAUAUGUGAAGAUAGUCCUGCAGAAGAUCUGUACGGCAUUUUUAUCAAUAGGGUUCGUCGAGAGCGUCCACCAGAGUAUUUGGAAAAGUUUGACAAAAUGGGUCCCUCCCCCAGUGAAGAUGACAAGCAGCUAUGUUCGUCAAAACAUUGACAUACUCGGAAGAAAAUGGAUGUGGCUUCCAUUACAUGUAUUCAAGACACAAGAUCUGUGUUGGGAUUCGUAUAUAUGAGUUCAAUACUUGACCAAAUUUGAGAUGGUUUAAAUGGAGGUAUUACCU
Raphanus sativus (radish) is the source of this 2136-nucleotide RNA transcript. RefSeq lists it as uncharacterized. The transcript has 4 exons. NCBI's taxonomy places the organism in Eukaryota, Viridiplantae, Streptophyta, Magnoliopsida, Brassicales, Brassicaceae. The record is from RefSeq and is a predicted model, not a curated record.